CUUCUUCCGAAGGUAGUUUUCUUUUUUAAAAGCGGAAGGAGAGUUUUGUUUGGAUGAGGCUUUCAGAAACUUGGCACCGAAGUGCAGGCAUUGGAAAGACUCAAUGUGCCCCUAAAGCCGAGUAAGGAAUCUGCAAACGAUGCGGGGCGUAGAAGUCUUGGAUGGAGAGGUGUUUUGACUUUAUCAGUGAGAAAUACUGAAGUAAUAUCAAAUAUUUGUGAUCUGCAAUCUUGGGUUCACAAGAUGUGAAACGACACUUAAGUUGCAAGAUCUUGUAGAAAAGUAUAGCCGGAUUUAAAAUUUGCAUAUGUGGAUUGUGCAGACCAAGUCUUGCAGCAGGUGAUUUGGAGUAAUCCUGGAUUUGCAUAUAAUUACCCCUAGUUCCCUAAGAUUCCAGAGGCUUGGGAAAUUUUGGGGUGACCGUUAAUUUUCAGUUUCAUCUGAGAAAGCCGAUUUGGAGUAACUUGUCACUUGCCAUUUGGUUUGCCUGUGACGUGUCUGGCAACUCUUAAGGAGUGCAAAGAUCAGAAGCUGAGAGGGAAGUUUUCAGAUCUUGUUUAAAAAUAUUUUGGCAGUUUUAAUAGAGAAUAUUAGAUUGCAUAGGAACAGAGGAACCGAAUUUAAAAUAGAU
RNAcentral lists this long non-coding RNA (631 nucleotides) under Marmota monax (woodchuck). Lineage: Eukaryota; Metazoa; Chordata; Mammalia; Rodentia; Sciuridae. The record is from RNAcentral.